Molecule: ribosomal RNA, 503 nt
Filed under: uncultured bacterium
Lineage: Bacteria
Description: partial 16S ribosomal RNA
Rfam family: Bacterial small subunit ribosomal RNA
Source: RNAcentral
AUUGAACGCUGGCGGCAGGCUUAACACAUGCAAGUCGAGCGGGGUGAUGGUGCUUGCACUAUCACUUAGCGGCGGACGGGUGAGUAAUGCUUAGGAAUCUGCCUAUUAGUGGGGGACAACAUCUCGAAAGGGAUGCUAAUACCGCAUACGUCCUACGGGAGAAAGCAGGGGAUCACUUGUGACCUUGCGCUAAUAGAUGAGCCUAAGUCGGAUCAGCUAGUUGGUGGGGUAAAGGCCUACCAAGGCGACGAUCUGUAGCGGGUCUGAGAGGAUGAACCGCCACCCUGGGACUGAGACACGACCCAGACUCCUCCGGGAGGCAGCAGUGGGGAAUAUUGGACAAUGGGCGGAACCCUGAUCCAGCCAUGCCGCGUGUGUGAAGAAGGCCUUAUGGUUGUAAAGCACUUUAAGCGAGGAGGAGGCUCUUUUGGUUAAUACCCAAGAUGAGUGGACGUUACUCGCAGAGUAAGCACCGGCUAACUCUGUGCCAGCAGCCGCCGUAA